This 374-nucleotide ribosomal RNA is filed under the name uncultured organism. RNAcentral's name for it is "bacterial SSU rRNA". It matches the Rfam family "Bacterial small subunit ribosomal RNA", at positions 526 to 896 of the family's 1533-position model. The record is from RNAcentral.
CGUAGGUGGCGAGCGUUGUCCGGAAUUACUGGGUGUAAAGGGCGUGUAGGCGGGACUGUAAGUCAGUAUGUGAAAUUCUGAGGCUUAACCUCAGCGCUGCAUCUGAAACUGCGGUUCUUGAGUAUCGGAGAGGAAAGUGGAAUUCCCAGUGUAGCGGUGAAAUGCGUAGAUAUUGGGAGGAACACCAGUGGCGAAGGCGACUUUCUGGACGAUAACUGACGCUGAGGCGCGGAAGCGUGGGGAGCAAACAGGAUUAGAUACCCUGGUAGUCCACGCUGUAAACGAUGGAUACUAGGUGUAGGAGGUAUCGACCCCUUCUGUGCCGGAGUUAACACAAUAAGUAUCCCACCUGGGGAGUACGGCCGCAAAGGUUG